RNAcentral lists this microRNA precursor (119 nucleotides) under Podarcis lilfordi (Lilford's wall lizard). Lineage: Eukaryota; Metazoa; Chordata; Lepidosauria; Squamata; Lacertidae. The record is from RNAcentral.
UGCCCAGUAGCACCUUAGAGACCAACUAAGUUUGUUCUUGGUAUCAGCUUUCAGUAUGCAUGCACACGAAAGCUUAUACCAAGAACAAACUUAGUUGGUCUCUAAGGUGCUACUGGACA